This 407-nucleotide ribosomal RNA is filed under the name uncultured bacterium. RNAcentral describes it as "partial 16S ribosomal RNA". It matches the Rfam family "Bacterial small subunit ribosomal RNA", at positions 30 to 526 of the family's 1533-position model. The record is from RNAcentral.
AUUGAACGCUGGCGGCAGGCCUAACACAUGCAAGUCGGGCGGAGCGGCGGACGGGUGAGUAAUGUAUGGGGAUCUGCCUGGUAGUGGGGGAUAACGUCCGGAAACGGGCGCUAAUACCGCAUACUAUCAGAUGAGCCUAGGUCGGAUUAGCUAGUUGGUGGGGUAAAGGCUUACCAAGGCGACGAUCCGUAACUGGUCUGAGAGGAUGAUCAGUCACACGGGAACUGAGACACGGUCCAGACUCCUACGGGAGGCAGCAGUGGGGAAUAUUGGACAAUGGGCGAAAGCCUGAUACAGCCAUGCCGCGGGUGUGAAGAAGGUCUUCGGAUUGUAAAGCACUUUAAGUUGGGAGGCGUUACCGACAGAAGAAGCACCGGCUAACUCCGUGUCAGCAGCCGCGGUAAUUC